RNAcentral lists this ribosomal RNA (911 nucleotides) under uncultured bacterium. Its description in RNAcentral is "bacterial SSU rRNA". It matches the Rfam family "Bacterial small subunit ribosomal RNA", at positions 42 to 954 of the family's 1533-position model. The record is from RNAcentral.
GCGGGUGCUAUGCAUGCAAGUCGAGCGACGCAUGCCCAGUUCGUAAGAACAGGGUAUGACGGAGCGGCGAACGGGUGAGUAACACGUGAGCAACCUGCCCCACAGACCGGGAUAGCCCAAGGAAACUUGGAUUAAUACCGGAUUCCCUCGAACAAUCGCAUGGUUGAUCGAGGAAAGGCCUUUGUGCUGUGGGAUGGGCUCGCGGCUUAUCAGCUAGUUGGUGGGGUAAAGGCCUACCAAGGCAUCGACGAGUAGCUGGUCUGAGAGGACGAUCAGCCACACUGGAACUGAGACACGGUCCAGACUCCUACGGGAGGCAGCAGCAGGGAAUCUUGCGCAAUGGGCGAAAGCCUGACGCAGCAACGCCGCGUGGGGGAUGAAGGCCUUCGGGUUGUAAACCCCUUUCAGGAGGGAAGAAAUUGACGGUACCUCCAGAAGAAGGACCGGCCAACUACGUGCCAGCAGCCGCGGUAAUACGUAGGGUCCUAGCGUUAUCCGGAAUCAUUGGGCGUAAAGAGCUCGUAGGCGGUUCAGCAAGUCGGCUGUGAAAGUCCGAGGCUUAACCUCGGAAUUGCAGUCGAUACUGCUGUGACUCGAGUCCGGUAGAGGAGAAUGGAAUUCUCGGUGUAGCGGUGAAAUGCGCAGAUAUCGAGAGGAACACCAGUAGCGAAGGCGGUUCUCUGGGCCGGCACUGACGCUGAGGAGCGAAAGCGUGGGGAGCAAACAGGAUUAGAUACCCUGGUAGUCCACGCCGUAACGUUGGAUACUAAGGUGGUGGCGGUUGUACCAACGACUGCCGUGCCGAAGCUAACGCAUUAAGUAUCCCGCCCUGGGGAGUACGACGCAUGCUAAACUCAAAGGAUUGACGGGUCCCCGCCACAAGCGGCGGAGCAUGCGGGCCUUAAUUUCGA